AUACGUAGGCAGCAAGCGUUGUUCGGAAUUACUGGGCGUAAAGAGUGCGUAGGUGGUUGGCCAAGUUUGGUGUGAAAUCUUCCCGGCUUAACUGGGAGGGUGCGCCGAAAACUGGUUGACUAGAGUGUGGGAGAGGGACGUGGAAUUCCUGGUGUAGCGGUGAAAUGCGUAGAUAUCAGGAGGAACACCUGCGGUGUAGACGGCGUCCUGGACCAUGACUGACACUGAGGCACGAAAGCGUGGGGAGC
Molecule: ribosomal RNA, 248 nt
Filed under: uncultured bacterium
Lineage: Bacteria
Description: partial 16S ribosomal RNA
Rfam family: Bacterial small subunit ribosomal RNA
Source: RNAcentral